CUUGGGAAAUCUGGUGCGCCGCAGGCGCACAGGCGGUAGGAAUUAGGCAGUAGGAUUUAGGUUCUAUUGGCUACUGGCUAUUGCCUGCGUCGCAAGACGCUCCAGGUUUCCAAGCAUUGUUAAUAAGGUAUCUGCACCUGAAUAAAAUAGGGUGUAAGAAGCGAACGCAGGGAACUGAAACAUCUAAGUACCUGCAGGAAAGGACAUCAACCGAGACUCCGCAAGUAGUGGCGAGCGAACGCGGACCAGGCCAGUGGCAAUGUGGAAUAAAGUGGAACGCUCUGGAAAGUGCGGCCGUAGUGGGUGACAGCCCCGUACGCGUAGAACACACAUUGUCCUUGAGUAAGGCGGGACACGUGAAAUCCUGUCUGAACAUGGGGAGACCACUCUCCAAGCCUAAGUACUCGUGCAUGACCGAUAGCGAACAAGUACCGUGAGGGAAAGGUGAAAAGCACCCCGACAAGGGGAGUGAAAUAGAACCUGAAACCGGUUGCCUACAAACAGUCGGAGGGGGAGACCCUGACGGCGUACCUUUUGUAUAAUGGGUCAACGACUUAGUGUAACUAGCAAGCUUAAGCCGGUAGGUGUAGGCGCAGCGAAAGCGAGUCUGAACAGGGCGAUUGAGUUAGUUGCAUUAGACCCGAAACCGAGUGAUCUAGCCAUGAGCAGGUUGAAGGUUGGGUAACACCAACUGGAGGACCGAACCCGCAUCUGUUGCAAUAGAUUGGGAUGACUUGUGGCUAGGGGUGAAAGGCCAAUCAAACUCGGAAAUAGCUGGUUCUCCGCGAAAACUAUUUAGGUAGUGCGUCGACCGAAUACCCUCGGGGGUAGAGCACUGGAUGGGCUAUGGGGACUCACCGUCUUACUGAUCCUAACCAAACUCCGAAUACCGAGGAGUACUAGUCGGCAGACACACGGCGGGUGCUAACGUCCGUCGUGAAGAGGGCAACAACCCUGACCUCCAGCUAAGGUCCCCAAGUCAUGGCUAAGUGGGAAAGGAUGUGAGGAUCCCAAAACAACCAGGAUGUUGGCUUAGAAGCAGCCAUCAUUUAAAGAAAGCGUAACAGCUCACUGGUCUAAAUAAGGGUCUUUGCGCCGAAAAUGUAACGGGGCUAAAGCCAUGCACCGAAGCUGAGGAUACGUCGCAAGACGUGUGGUAGCGGAGCGUUCCGUAAGCCUGUGAAGGGGUACCUGUGAGGGGCCCUGGAGGUAUCGGAAGUGCGAAUGUUGACAUGAGUAACGAUAAAGAGGGUGAGAGACCCUCUCGCCGAAAGACCAAGGGUUCCUGCUUAAAGUUAAUCUGAGCAGGGUUAGCCGGCCCCUAAGGCGAGGCGGAAACGCGUAGUCGAUGGGAACCACGUUAAUAUUCGUGGGCCUGGUGGUAGUGACGGAUCGCACAAAUUGUUCAGACUUAUUGGAUUGUCUGGGCAGUGGAGCGGUUCCAGGAAAUAGCUCCACCCUAUAGACCGUACCCGAAACCGACACAGGUGGUCAGGUAGAGUAUACCAAGGCGCUUGAGAGAACUAUGCUGAAGGAACUCGGCAAAUUGCACGCGUAACUUCGGAAGAAGCGUGACCCCAUUUUACGCAAGUAAGGUGGGGUGGCACAGACCAGGGGGUAGCGACUGUUUAUCAAAAACACAGGGCUCUGCGAAGUCGCAAGACGACGUAUAGGGUCUGACGCCUGCCCGGUGCUGGAAGGUUAAGAGGAGAGGUGCAAGCUUUGAAUCGAAGCCCCAGUAAACGGCGGCCGUAACUAUAACGGUCCUAAGGUAGCGAAAUUCCUUGUCGGGUAAGUUCCGACCUGCACGAAUGGCGUAACGACUUCCCCGCUGUCUCCAGCAUAGACUCAGUGAAAUUGAAUUCCCCGUGAAGAUGCGGGGUUCCUGCGGUCAGACGGAAAGACCCCGUGCACCUUUACUAUAGCUUUACACUGGCAUUCGUGUCGGCAUGUGUAGGAUAGGUGGUAGGCUUUGAAGCGGGGACGCCAGUUCUCGUGGAGCCAUCCUUGAAAUACCACCCUUAUCGUCAUGGAUGUCUAACCGCGGUCCGUCAUCCGGAUCCGGGACAGUGUAUGGUGGGUAGUUUGACUGGGGCGGUCGCCUCCGAAAGAGUAACGGAGGCGCGCGAUGGUGGGCUCAGACCGGUCGGAAAUCGGUCGUCGAGUGCAAUGGCAUAAGCCCGCCUGACUGCGAGACUGACAAGUCGAGCAGAGACGAAAGUCGGUCAUAGUGAUCCGGUGGUCCCGCGUGGAAGGGCCAUCGCUCAACGGAUAAAAGGUACGCCGGGGAUAACAGGCUGAUGACCCCCAAGAGUCCAUAUCGACGGGGUUGUUUGGCACCUCGAUGUCGGCUCAUCGCAUCCUGGGGCUGGAGCAGGUCCCAAG
This 2385-nucleotide ribosomal RNA is filed under the name Paenirhizobium selenitireducens ATCC BAA-1503. It matches the Rfam family "Bacterial large subunit ribosomal RNA", at positions 1 to 2569 of the family's 2925-position model. Lineage: Bacteria; Pseudomonadati; Pseudomonadota; Alphaproteobacteria; Hyphomicrobiales; Rhizobiaceae. The record is from RNAcentral.